GACGAACGCUGGCGGCGUGCCUAACACAUGCAAGUCAACUUGACUGAAGGAGCAAUCUGACAGUAGAGUGGCGCAAGGGUGCGUAACGCGUAAGUAACUUGCCCAAGGUAAGGAAUAACGUCGAGAAAUCGGCGCUAAUACCUCAUAAUGCAGCGGAUCCGCAUGGAUAUGUUGUUAAAGGUUUACCGCCUUGGGAUAGGCUUGCGUCUGAUUAGCUAGUUGGUGUGGUAACGGCACACCAAGGCUACGAUCAGUAACUGGUCUGAGAGGAUGAUCAGUCACACUGGAACUGAGACACGGUCCAGACUCCUACGGGAGGCAGCAGUGAGGAAUAUUGGGCAAUGCUCGAAAGAGUGACCCAGCAACGCCGCCGUGGAGGAUGAAGGUAUUCUAUAUCGUAAACUCCUGUGAGAGCAGACGAAAGACAGAUUAUUAAUCUGGAUGACUGUAUGCUC
RNAcentral lists this ribosomal RNA (455 nucleotides) under uncultured bacterium. RNAcentral's name for it is "bacterial SSU rRNA". It matches the Rfam family "Bacterial small subunit ribosomal RNA", at positions 28 to 482 of the family's 1533-position model. The record is from RNAcentral.